AUGAGUAUCAUAGGGGAACU
RNAcentral lists this small nuclear RNA (20 nucleotides) under Arabidopsis thaliana (thale cress). RNAcentral describes it as "snRNA_12743". Lineage: Eukaryota; Viridiplantae; Streptophyta; Magnoliopsida; Brassicales; Brassicaceae. The record is from RNAcentral.